This 406-nucleotide ribosomal RNA is filed under the name uncultured bacterium. RNAcentral describes it as "partial 16S ribosomal RNA". It matches the Rfam family "Bacterial small subunit ribosomal RNA", at positions 30 to 526 of the family's 1533-position model. The record is from RNAcentral.
AUUGAACGCUGGCGGCAGGCCUAACACAUGCAAGUCGAGCGAGCGGCGGACGGGUGAGUAAUGUCUGGGAAACUGCCUGAUGGAGGGGGAUAACUACUGGAAACGGUAGCUAAUACCGCAUACAAUAAGAUGUGCGCAGAUGGGAUUAGCUAGUAGGUGGGGUAAUGUCUCACCUAGGCGACGAUCCCUAGCUGGUCUGAGAGGAGGACCAGCCACACUGGAACGGAGACACGGCCCAGACUCCUACGGGAGGCAGCAGUGGGGAAUAUUGCACAAUGGGCGCAAGCCUGAUGCAGCCAUGCCGCGUGGAUGAAGAAGGCCUUCGGGUUGUAAAGUACUGUCAGCAGGGAGGCGUUACCCACAGAAGAAGCACCGGCUAACUCCGUGCCAGCAGCCGCGGUAAUUC